Molecule: ribosomal RNA, 526 nt
Filed under: uncultured bacterium
Lineage: Bacteria
Description: bacterial SSU rRNA
Rfam family: Bacterial small subunit ribosomal RNA
Source: RNAcentral
UGAGGAAUAUUGCACAAUGGGCGAAAGCCUGAUGCAGCAACGCCGCGUGAGGGACGAAGGCCUUCGGGUCGUAAACCUCUUUUCUGGGGGAAGAGACAAGGACGGUACCUCAGGAAUAAGUCUCGGCUAACUACGUGCCAGCAGCCGCGGUAAAACGUAGGGGGCGAGCGUUAUCCGGAUUUACUGGGCGUAAAGCGCACGCAGGCGGCUUCGUUAGUCGGACGUGAAAGCUCCUGGCUUAACUGGGAGAGGCCGUUCGAUACUGCGAGGCUUGAGGUUGGGAGAGGGGUGCGGAAUUCCCGGUGUAGUGGUGGAAUGCGUAGAUAUCGGGAGGAACACCAGUGGCGAAGGCGGCACCCUGGCCCACACCUGACGCUGAGGUGCGAAAGCGUGGGUAGCAAACAGGAUUAGAUACCCUGGUAGUCCACGCCGUAAACGAUGUCAACUAGGUGUUGGUAGUGUUACACUAUCAGUGCCGUAGCUAACGCGUUAAGUUGACCGCCUGGGGACUACGGCCGCAAGGCUA